GAUGAACGCUGGCGGCGUGCCUAAUACAUGCAAGUCGAGCGAACAGACGAGGAGCUUGCUCCUCUGACGUUAGCGGCGGACGGGUGAGUAACACGUGGAUAACCUACCUAUAAGACUGGGAUAACUUCGGGAAACCGGAGCUAAUACCGGAUAAUAUAUUGAACCGCAUGGUUCAAUAGUGAAAGACGGUUUUGCUGUCACUUAUAGAUGGAUCCGCGCCGCAUUAGCUAGUUGGUAAGGUAACGGCUUACCAAGGCAACGAUGCGUAGCCGACCUGAGAGUGGGAGCGGCAACAGUGGAACUGAGACGCGGACCAGACCACGGGGGGAGGAACAAGGAGGGAUUCUCCCGAAAGGGGGGAAACCCGGAAGAAGCACCGCGGGGGGAUGGAUAAAGGUUUGCGAAUCGAAAACCUUUUUUAUGAGAAAAAAACAAAUGUGAAAGUAACUAUGCCCGUCGGGAGGGUACAUAAUAAGAAGCCCCCGCCAAACUACGCC
Molecule: ribosomal RNA, 497 nt
Filed under: uncultured bacterium
Lineage: Bacteria
Description: partial 16S ribosomal RNA
Rfam family: Bacterial small subunit ribosomal RNA
Source: RNAcentral